UGCACGGUGGUGGAUAUGGAUCUGCACUCCAAAUCUGGAAACCUACGCAGCUGUCAGUAACUGUUGGUUAUAAAAUCUGGAAGUAAUUGAGGAAAAAGGAAAACGCUGGUAAAGUACAUGUGGAGCAACCUGGCACAUGCGCCGACUUGCAACAUCGCGAGCUACAUAAUGCAGGAAUGUCAAAUUGUGAUUUAUUUACU
Molecule: long non-coding RNA, 200 nt
Organism: Trichomycterus rosablanca
Lineage: Eukaryota; Metazoa; Chordata; Actinopteri; Siluriformes; Trichomycteridae
Exons: 3
Source: RefSeq, a predicted model, not a curated record